RNAcentral lists this ribosomal RNA (1497 nucleotides) under metagenome. Its description in RNAcentral is "bacterial SSU rRNA". It matches the Rfam family "Bacterial small subunit ribosomal RNA". The record is from RNAcentral.
AGAGUUUGAUUCUGGCUCAGAACGAACGCUGGCGGCGUGCUUAACACAUGCAAGUCGAACGAGAAAGUUCCUUCGGGAAUGAGUAAAGUGGCGCACGGGUCAUUAAUACGUGGAUAAUCUGCCUUUGGGUGAAAAACAACCUGUCGAAAGACGGGCUAAUAUUUCGUAAGACCACAGGAUCUUUGGAUCUAGGGGUAAAAGGUGGCCUUUUUGGCUAUCGCCUAAAGAUGAGUCCGCGCACCAUUAGCUAGUUGGCGGGGUAAAGGCCCACCAAGGCAAAGAUGGUUAGCUGGUCUGAGAGGACGAUCAGCGACACUGGAACUGAGACACGGUCCAGACUCCUACGGGAGGCAGCAGUGGGGAAUUUUGGACAAUGGGCGAAAGCCUGAUCCAGCAACGCCGCGUGAGUGAUGAAGGCCUUCGGGUUGUAAGCUCUGUCAGAGGGAACGAAAAACAGCGACCUAAUACGUCGUUGCUUGACGGUACUCUCAAAGGAAGCACCGGCUAACUCUGUGCCAGCAGCCGCGGUAAUACAGAGGGUGCAAGCGUUGUUCGAAAUUACUGGGCGUAAAGGGUACGUAGGCGGCGAAGUGUGUCUGAUGUGAAAGCCCUUGGCUUAACCAAGGAAGUGCAUUGGAAACUACUUUGCUAGAGUGUGAGAGAGGAUAGUGGAAUUCCCAGUAGAGGUGAAAUUCGUGGAUACUGGGAGGAACAUCUGAGGCGAAGGCGACUAUCUGGAUCACAACUGACGCUGAGGUACGAAAGCAUGGGUAGCAAACAGGAUUAGAUACCCUGGUAGUCCAUGCCGUAAACGAUGAUAACUAGGUGUCGGGAGUAUUGACCCUUCCGGUGCCGCAGCUAACGCAUUAAGUUAUCCGCCUGGGGAGUACGGUCGCAAGACUAAAACUCAAAGAAAUUGACGGGGGCCCGCACAAGCGGUGGAGUAUGUGGUUUAAUUCGACGCAACGCGAAGAACCUUACCUAGGCUAGACAUCAACUGGAAGGUCUGUAGAGAUAUGGAUCGUUCCCGCAAGGGAACUGGUUGACAGGUGCUGCAUGGCUGUCGUCAGCUCGUGUCGUGAGAUGUUGGGUUAAGUCCCGCAACGAGCGCAACCCCUGCCUCCUUUUGCCAUCAUUAAGUUGGGAACUAUGGAGGGACAACCGGCCUUAAACCGGGGGAAGGUGGGGAUGACGUCAAGUCCUCAUGGCCCUUGAUGCCUAGGGCUACACACGUACUACAAUGGUCGAUACAAAGCGCUGCAACAUCGUGAGAUGAAGCGAAUCGCAAAAAGUCGGCCUCAGUUCGGAUUGAAGGCUGCAACUCGCCUUCAUGAAGCUGGAAUCGCUAGUAAUCGCAGAUCAGCAAGCUGCGGUGAAUACGUUCCCGGGCCUUGUACACACCGCCCGUCACACCACGAAAGUUAAUUGGACCAGAAGAUAUUGGGUUUCUAGUAUUGACGGUCUGAUUAGUGAUUGGGGUGAAGUCGUAACAAGGUA